This 253-nucleotide ribosomal RNA is filed under the name uncultured bacterium. Its description in RNAcentral is "partial 16S ribosomal RNA". It matches the Rfam family "Bacterial small subunit ribosomal RNA", at positions 524 to 776 of the family's 1533-position model. The record is from RNAcentral.
UACGGAGGGUGCAAGCGUUAUCCGGAUUCACUGGGUUUAAAGGGUGCGUAGGUGGACUAGUAAGUCAGUGGUGAAAUCUCCGGGCUUAACCCGGAAACUGCCAUUGAUACUAUUAGUCUUGAAUACCGUGGAGGUCAGCGGAAUAUGUCAUGUAGCGGUGAAAUGCUUAGAUAUGACAUAGAACACCAAUUGCGAAGGCAGCUGGCGACACGAAUAUUGACACUCAGGCACGAAAGCGUGGGGAUCAAACAGG